GGGGUGACUAGUGACAGAGUGAGGUAGGGGGUGACACAGUGACAGAGUGAGGGAGGGGGUGACACAGUGAGGGAGGGGGUGACACAGUGACAGAGUGAAGGAGGUGGUGACUGUCACUAGUCACCCCAUCCCUCCCUCUGUCACUAAUCACCACCUCCCUCACUCUGUCACUAGUCACCCCCUCCCUCCCUCUCUCUGUCACUAGUCACCCCUUCCCUCCCUCUCUCUGUCACUAGCCACACCAUCCCUCACUUUGUCAGUAGUCGCCCCCUUCCUCACUGUCACUAGUCACCCCC
Molecule: non-coding RNA, 296 nt
Organism: Pelobates cultripes (western spadefoot toad)
Lineage: Eukaryota; Metazoa; Chordata; Amphibia; Anura; Pelobatidae
Source: the annotation of a GenBank genome assembly